AUUGAACGCUGGCGGCAGGCCUAACACAUGCAAGUCGAGCGGCAGCGGGAAAGUAGCUUGCUACUUUUGCCGGCGAGCGGCGGACGGGUGAGUAAUGCCUGGGAAAUUGCCCAGUCGAGGGGGAUAACAGUUGGAAACGACUGCUAAUACCGCAUACGCCCUACGGGGGAAAGCAGGGGACCUUCGGGCCUUGCGCGAUUGGAUAUGCCCAGGUGGGAUUAGCUAGUUGGUGAGGUAAUGGCUCACCAAGGCGACGAUCCCUAGCUGGUCUGAGGGGAUGAUCAGCCACACUGGAACUGAGACACGGUCCAGACUCCUACGGGGGGCAGCAGUGGGGAAUAUUGCACAAUGGGGGAAACCCUGAUGCAGCCAUGCCGCGUGUGUGAAGAAGGCCUUCGGGUUGUAAAGCACUUUCAGCGAGGAGGAAAGGUUGAUGCCUAAUACGUAUCAACUGUGACGUUACUCGCAGAAGAAGCACCGGCUAACUCCGUGCCAGCCGCCGCUGUAA
RNAcentral lists this ribosomal RNA (508 nucleotides) under uncultured bacterium. RNAcentral's name for it is "partial 16S ribosomal RNA". It matches the Rfam family "Bacterial small subunit ribosomal RNA", at positions 30 to 523 of the family's 1533-position model. The record is from RNAcentral.